Molecule: ribosomal RNA, 588 nt
Filed under: uncultured bacterium
Lineage: Bacteria
Description: bacterial SSU rRNA
Rfam family: Bacterial small subunit ribosomal RNA
Source: RNAcentral
CCUACGGGAGGCAGCAGUGGGGAAUCUUGCGCAAUGGGGGAAACCCUGACGCAGCAACGCCGCGUGGGUGAUGAAGGCCUUCGGGUCGUAAAGCCCUGUCAGGUGGGAAGAAACUUGUGGAUGCUAAUAUCAUCCACACUUGACGGUACCACCGGAGGAAGCACCGGCUAACUCCGUGCCAGCAGCCGCGGUAAUACGGAGGGUGCAAGCGUUGUUCGGAAUUAUUGGGCGUAAAGCGCGUGUAGGUGGUCGGGCAAGUCAGAUGUGAAAGCCUUCUGCUUAACAGAAGAAGUGCAUUUGAAACUGCUUGGCUAGAGUACGGGAGAGGAGAGUGGAAUUCCCGGUGUAGAGGUGAAAUUCGUAGAUAUCGGGAGGAACACCAGUGGCGAAGGCGGCUCUCUGGUCCGAUACUGACGCUGAGACGCGAAAGCGUGGGGAGCAAACAGGAUUAGAUACCCUGGUAGUCCACGCCGUAAACGAUGGGCACUAGGUGUAGGAGGUAUUGACCCCUUCUGUGCCGAAGCUAACGCAUUAAGUGCCCCGCCUGGGGAGUACGGCCGCAAGGCUAAAACUCAAAGGAAUUGACGG